UUGAACCGAAUGCUUACAGUUACGGAACUGAACUCGCUGAUGUUGUGUGCAAGCCUGCCUUGAGUAGGACGCCUAAUGCAUCACAGAUCUACUCCACUUGGUGAGAGUGUGGGUUCAA
Molecule: small RNA, 118 nt
Filed under: Legionellales bacterium
Lineage: Bacteria; Pseudomonadati; Pseudomonadota; Gammaproteobacteria; Legionellales
Description: 6S RNA
Rfam family: 6S / SsrS RNA
About the family: E. coli 6S RNA was the first non coding RNA to be sequenced, but its function was unknown until recently.
Source: RNAcentral